RNAcentral lists this RNase P RNA (424 nucleotides) under Cyanobium sp. FGCU6. RNAcentral describes it as "RNase P RNA component class A". It matches the Rfam family "Bacterial RNase P class A". Rfam says of the family: Ribonuclease P (RNase P) is a ubiquitous endoribonuclease, found in archaea, bacteria and eukarya as well as chloroplasts and mitochondria. Its best characterised activity is the generation of mature 5'-ends of tRNAs by cleaving the 5'-leader elements of precursor-tRNAs. The record is from RNAcentral. Lineage: Bacteria; Bacillati; Cyanobacteriota; Cyanophyceae; Synechococcales; Prochlorococcaceae.
GAAAGCAGGUGAGGUGAUCGCGGCCGGCGCUUCGCUCCCACGGGAGCCGAUCAGCCGGCUGAGGAAAGUCCGGGCUCCCCAAGGACCAGGCCUGCCGGGUAAUCCCCGGUGCGGGCGACCGUGAGGACAGUGCCACAGAAACACACCGCCGAUGGCCGCCGGGCCUGCCCGGCGGCACAGGCAAGGGUGCAAGGGUGCGGUAAGAGCGCACCAGCGGCAUCGAGAGGUGCCGGCUCGGUAAACCCCGGCCGGGAGCAAGGCCAGGGCUUCGGCCCGGGAGACAAGGGUUGGUCCUUUGCCCGUCUCCUUCCAUCAGAGCCGCUCGAGACCGCCGGUGACGGCGGUCCUAGACAGAUGGUCACCCCCGCCCCGGCCUCCGGGCUGGAGCGGUGAACAGAACCCGGCUUACGUCCUGCUUUCCCCC